Molecule: non-coding RNA, 117 nt
Organism: Megalopta genalis
Lineage: Eukaryota; Metazoa; Arthropoda; Insecta; Hymenoptera; Halictidae
Source: RefSeq, a predicted model, not a curated record
CUGAAACCAACUCGUUUCUUAUGUUCUUUAAAGCUUCUAGAGGAUUUUGUUGCUGAAUUCUUUUAUCAAAAUCCUAUAAGCCAACUAGGAGUAAUUGUUACAAGAAAUAAAAGAGCA